RNAcentral lists this ribosomal RNA (565 nucleotides) under cf. Marchandiomyces sp. MYA-1121. Its description in RNAcentral is "SSU rRNA". It matches the Rfam family "Bacterial small subunit ribosomal RNA", at positions 358 to 940 of the family's 1533-position model. The record is from RNAcentral. Lineage: Eukaryota; Fungi; Basidiomycota; Agaricomycetes; Corticiales; Corticiaceae.
GGAAUANUNGGUCAAUGCUCSCAAGAGUGAACAAGCUAACUGAGAUCACACUCUAGAGGUGUUUGAUAACGUAGAGUAGUAUAAUGACUUAAAUCUACUAUUAGUGUCGUCUAAAGUUCUGGUGCCAGAAGACUCGGUAACGCCUGAGACGCGAACGUUAGCCAUCAUGAAUGGGCAUAAAGGGUUUGUAGGCAGCUUCGAAAGACCUUAGUUUUUAAAUCUAAAUUAAGGGCCUAAUUGCGAAGAUAGAAUCAUAUAGAGGUUAAGAUAAUACUUAGUGUAAGGUUGAUAUCCACAAAACCUAUGGGGAAUACUAAAUGCGAAGGCUCUUUUCCAAAUAAAAAGGAUAGAUAAUUAUCUAUAGAUUGACGCUGAGACACGAAGGUGUGGGAAGGAAAUAGGAUUAGAUACCCUCGUACUCCACACUGUAAACGAUGAAUGGCUGGUGUUUAUCAUAUCAUGAAUAAGCGCCGAUGUGAAAGACGAUGACCAUUCCGCCUUGCUAGUAUACCUGCAAAAGUGAAAGCAAAAAAAUUAGUCGGUCUUAAAGCAAACGAAGUGNAGC